RNAcentral lists this ribosomal RNA (272 nucleotides) under Staphylococcus aureus. RNAcentral's name for it is "partial 23S ribosomal RNA". It matches the Rfam family "Bacterial large subunit ribosomal RNA", at positions 244 to 511 of the family's 2925-position model. Lineage: Bacteria; Bacillati; Bacillota; Bacilli; Caryophanales; Staphylococcaceae. The record is from RNAcentral.
UAGCGGCGAGCGAAACGGGAAGAGCCCAAACCCACCAGCUUGCGUGUUGGGGUUGUAGGACACUCUAUACGGAGUUACAAAGGACGACAUUAGACGAAUCAUCUGGAAAGAAGAAUCAAAGAAGGUAAUAAUCCUGUAGUCGAAAAUGUUGUCUCUCUUGAGUGGAUCCAGAGUACGACGGAGCACGUGAAAUUCCGUCGGAAUCUGUGAGGACCAUCUCCUAAGGCGAAAUACUCUCUAGUGACCGAUAGUGAACCAGUACCGUGAGGGAA